GUUAAAAAAAAUAAGGCCCAAAGGAAGGAAAAUCGAAAAGCAAGAAAAACCCAAAUAUCUUAAAUCUAAUGUGUUCCCCCAACAAGGAAAACCCUAACACGCGUUGCCACCACUGUCAAAUCCAAAAACGACGAUCUGUGCUCUGCUCCGGCAACGUUCUGCACCAGGGACUUCUUCGGCAACGAUCUGCUCCAGCGAAUGCUCCGGCGACGAUCUGCUCCGGCGAUGAUCUGCUCCAGCGAAUGCUCCGGCAACGAUUUUCUCGGUGUUCUCCUCCGACGAGAUUGUGUGCUGUGAACUGAAACGCUAUCUCCAGCGACGAUCUCCUCUGGCGGCGCGUUCUCCUCCUUUAGCAAGCUUCUAUGAUUUGGAUUUGAUAUGAAGAUUGUCACUCAUCUCAUCACCGUCAUUCAUCUCUGCGCCAUCGCAAGCAACACCGUUUUCAAUCUGGCUCAUCUCCUCGCCGUGGCAAGCAAUGCCGUUGUUGCUGCCUUCAGCAAGCUUCUACAGUUUGGUUUCGCGAUCUCUAUCACUUCUAAUAGAGGUAUAUAAAAGAUCAUAAAGGUGUUUGAACAAUUUUUCUUCUGGAUUGGAAGCUUUUGCCCUCAGAAAUUCUAAAGAUUCUGGUCCUUAGGAUUGAAACCAUGACAGAGCAACAAAGGUCAGACAUAAGCAACCUUGGAAAAUCUACUGCAAUGGAAAGAUUGGCAGGUUUAGUGAGCUUUGUGAACCAAGUAAGAAAUUUACUUCAUUUUCUUGAAUGAAAAGCCAUUAGUUAUAUUCAAUUUAACUUCCACCGGUUUAUUAUUUUACCACUGUGUCAGUGACAGCAAUGAUUGAACAUAAUUCUGCAAUAAAGAAUAACCCCAUUUGAUUUCAACAAAUUUGUUUUAGAAGUGAUGAAACUAGGAAACAAUAUAGUGUUGUUCCAACUCAUGUUACUUAAAGGAAAAGAAAAUAAACAAAAGAAGGAAAUGAAACAUCUUCAUUCACUAACUUGAAGAUUGAGCACUAGAAAAUUGAAGGAAGCUUUACUAUGUUUGAAACUUGACAAGAUUGUCAUUUAUAUGCUCAUACCUUAGUUUUGGCAUCCAGUUAACAUGGGCUCUUGGUCAAUGUUGCAGUAUUAAAGGUGUUGGAAGCUGAUAAAUGCUUGGAGCUUGUUUUCGAGAUUCCUCUCCUAUACUAUUAUUUUCUAAACUAGUUUAUACUUCUGAAACCCUUCUAAUAAUAUAAGUUUCAAUUCUUAAUUUCAUAGGUAUACAGGACGAGGUCUUUUUAUGGAUCCUCCUUCUGUCUUCAUGAGCAACAAUAUGUGGAGUCUUUUGUUGCCUGAAGGGUUUCAGAUUGAAAAUCUGAAACUUGGUAACAUUAGUAAGUUUCAAAUUCCAACACUAAUUCCUUUCUUGUUUAGAAUAUCAUCAUAUUCUUUUUUGACAUUUUCACAGCCUUUGCUUCACGUGACAAAAUAUUUCUCAAGGGCAGGGAUACUUCUGAGCUUGUUGUAGUCUAUUCAUCUUACAUAUCAAAACUGUUAUCUAGAUAUAGAGGGUCCAAUAAUAUUGGAGCAUUGAUUAUGGAACCAGGCAAGAAUUUUAUGAGCUUGCAUAAUUUGAAGUCCUCAUUUUAAUUCCAAACUCUCCUCCUUUCCCUCUAAUGAUCUUAUCUGUUGAUAUUACUUUCUCCAAUGAAUAAAUAUGAAUGAGAAAAACAGAACAAGAAUCGGUUACUCACUUAACACACAUCAAUGUGAUAAUAUAUUAGAGCUAUGCUCACAGUAAUGCAAUUUUCUAUGUAAGGAAAAUAUUGCAUAUGGUCUCUACUCUCUAGAUCUUCCAAAAAGAAAAAGUUUCUUGCUUUUCUGUCUUGGUUUCUUAAGACGUUUUCAUUCUUUAGUUGUUCCAUUGUCUAUUUAGAUUUUUAAAUUAAAAUAGUUGUACCUACUUCCCUAAAUUUCUAUAAUCUCAUUUGGACCUAAACUUUUCUUUAGUUAUACAAGGUGCUGGAGGAAUGCAUAUGGUUGAUCCAUUGUUUCAGCGAGUACUUGUUAAUGAGUGUUGGAGUAGAAAUAUUCCAGUUAUCUUUGAUGAGAUUUUGUAGUCAAUGUUUUAUUUUUAUGCUACUAGAAUUUAUAGUUAAUUUAAAAUUUAAUAUUUAGGUUUAAAACAUUGAUAAGUAUUAGUUAAAAAAUAUUAUAAAUAUAAAGUAAACAUUGAUUUUGUAAGUUUUUAUGUAUUUAAUGUAUUGAGAAAACUAAAUUUUCCUUGUUUAAUUUACUUCCUUUACUAAUACUCUUAAUUCACUUUUUAGUCAAAUGAUAGAUAACUACACAGCAAAUUUGUGAGGAAAAAAAUUAAAAACUUUAGGUUAUUAGCUAACCUUUAUAAUUAUAUAUACACAACUAUAUUUAAGUUACUAAAAACUUUAUUGACAACUAUAAUUUUCUUAUACCAGGAGGGUAUGAUAAAGCUGAUAUAUUUCUUGUAUUCAGGAUUUGGCAGUCGUGGCUUUGCUGUACUCAUUCCUCUUAUUUCACCCAAUUCUUCCAAAGGAAGGCUGGUCUUUGUUCAUGUGGACAUGGACGAUGAAGAUGCUGGAAAGCCUAUAGCAAGCUUCUUUGGCAUCACCGGAAAUAAAGUAUAUGAGAAACAAAGUACUUAGAGAUGUAAUUCAGUAUAUAUUGCAAAG
Molecule: non-coding RNA, 2688 nt
Organism: Arachis ipaensis
Lineage: Eukaryota; Viridiplantae; Streptophyta; Magnoliopsida; Fabales; Fabaceae
Source: RefSeq, a predicted model, not a curated record